UGGGGCUCUGGGGCCCGCGGGGAACUCUGCACAGGAGGCCGCAGGAAGUUUCUGAGCACAGCAGUGGGGUGGUCGCUUCCCCUCAGCCUGCUGGCUUGCCGCCGCCGCUUGUUUUCCGGCCUCCUCCACCAGUCUGAUGUGGAAACAGCGAGCGCUCCGGAAGUACUCGCCAAAUGGGUGAGCCUCAAGAAACAGUGGUUUUUCCCGACAAGCAAGCAGAAAACAUCACUUAUAUUCAAAGCAGUCAGCCGCCGAGGAGGUGGGGGCUGGCGCUGAAAAGAAAGGGACCGGAUGCUCGCUGCUUCUUAGGAGUGAUGAGCAACGUCAGUCAACGCCAUGAUUAGAAUCUCCUUCCG
Molecule: long non-coding RNA, 356 nt
Filed under: Fukomys damarensis (Damara mole-rat)
Lineage: Eukaryota; Metazoa; Chordata; Mammalia; Rodentia; Bathyergidae
Description: lncRNA (ENSFDAG00000027237.1)
Source: RNAcentral